GAUGAACGCUGGCGGCGUGCCUAAUACAUGCAAGUCGAGCGAACAGAUGAGGAGCUUGCUCCUCUGACGUUAGCGGCGGACGGGUGAGUAACACGUGGAUAACCUACCUAUAAGACUGGGAUAACUUCGGGAAACCGGAGCUAAUACCGGAUAAUAUAUUGAACCGCAUGGUUCAAUAGUGAAAGACGGUUUUGCUGUCACUUAUAGAUGGAUCCGCGCCGCAUUAGCUAGUUGGUAAGGUAACGGCUUACCAAGGCAACGAUGCGUAGCCGACCUGAGAGGGUGAUCGGCCACACGGGAACUGAGACACGGUCCAGACUCCUACGGGAGGCAGCAGUAGGGAAUCUUCCGCAAUGGGCGAAAGCCUGACGGAGCAACGCCGCGUGAGUGAUGAAGGUCUUCGGAUCGUAAAACUCUGUUAUUAGGGAAGAACAAAUGUGUAAGUAACUAUGCACGUCUUGACGGUACCUAAUCAGAAAGCCACGGCUAACUACG
Molecule: ribosomal RNA, 495 nt
Filed under: uncultured bacterium
Lineage: Bacteria
Description: partial 16S ribosomal RNA
Rfam family: Bacterial small subunit ribosomal RNA
Source: RNAcentral